GACUCUGUGGUGAAAUUCAUGUUGAGUUGCAAGCUCAUCGAUGUACAUGAGAGAUGUGCCGGAGUCU
This 67-nucleotide transfer RNA is filed under the name Chordeiles acutipennis (lesser nighthawk). RNAcentral describes it as "tRNA-Cys". The record is from RNAcentral. Lineage: Eukaryota; Metazoa; Chordata; Aves; Caprimulgiformes; Caprimulgidae.